UAGGGAAUCUUAGGCAAUGGGGGGAACCCUGACCGAGCAACGCCGCGUGAGUGAAGAAGGUUUUCGGAUCGUAAAGCUCUGUUGUUAAGGAAGAACGAGUGUGAGAAUGGAAAGUUCAUACUGUGACGGUACUUAACCAGAAAGGGACGGCUAACUACGUGCCAGCAGCCGCGGUAAUACGUAGGUCCCGAGCGUUGUCCGGAUUUAUUGGGCGUAAAGCGAGCGCAGGCGGUUAGAUAAGUCUGAAGUUAAAGGCAGUGGCUCAACCAUUGUAGGCUUUGGAAACUGUUUAACUUGAGUGCAGAAGGGGAGAGGUGAAAUCCAUGUGUAGCAGUGAAAUGCGUAGAUAUAUGGAGGAACACCGGUGGCGAAAGCGGCUCUCUGGUCUGUAACUGACGCUGAGGCUCGAAAGCGUGGGGAGCGAACAGG
This 429-nucleotide ribosomal RNA is filed under the name Bacteroidota bacterium. RNAcentral describes it as "Bacteroidetes bacterium partial 16S ribosomal RNA". It matches the Rfam family "Bacterial small subunit ribosomal RNA", at positions 355 to 776 of the family's 1533-position model. Lineage: Bacteria; Pseudomonadati; Bacteroidota. The record is from RNAcentral.